This is a small nuclear RNA of Apodemus sylvaticus (European woodmouse), 103 nucleotides long. NCBI's taxonomy places the organism in Eukaryota, Metazoa, Chordata, Mammalia, Rodentia, Muridae. The record is from RefSeq and is a predicted model, not a curated record.
AUACUACUUUUUAACAGCAUAGAUACCAACUCUAGAACAAUACAGAAUAACAUGGCCCCUGGACAAGGAUGGCACAAAGAGUUGUGAAGCAUUCUGUAUUUGU